AAAAUAUAUCACAGAGGAUUGUGAAAUCAAGCCUGGAAUAUCCAAAAAUCUAACAAUUGCCUUUCCAUGUUCAGAAUUGAAUCAAUUAUUUAAACGAAGCAACAACAUAAAUAAAAUACAAACAUAUUAUUAUGGAGGUAAGAAUAAAGUAACAGGGCUGUGAGUUACUGAUAUGCAACAAACCUCUUCAUUGGCCACUUACAUUUCUCGCACGUGACAACUUUCAUCGUCAACGCUUCUUCAAACGGAACAACCGCCGUGUGACUCAGUUCACACGGCUUCUCCGCCGCAAUCUCAAUCGCCUCCGUAAAACCCAACCCCUUCGCAUACUCUCCCCACCGCACAAUCUUUCUCAUCCUCUCCGUCAUCUUCUCUCCAUCAACCGUCUCCGCAGUUGAUCCAUUCCCAAUGAUUCCCCAACCUCUAUGUUUCCCGUAAUCGAAGUCGAGAAGGUUCCUAACUUCUUCAAAAACACGAUCAGGUUUCGAUGGUUCAAUUACAAUCCGCUUGAGUUUUGAUCUUUCGAUGCUUUCUAAUCGGAGCCAGAAGAGCUGUUGCAAUGUAGGACUGAACAAAAUUGAGCUCUCUUCCAUGGCUCGCUCGUCUCGUCUCUGGUUGCUUAGAUCUCUCUUCCUUCAAAUGUAGGAUGAAUUCCAUCAAGCAAGAGAUUGAUAGACCAUCCAUGUUCUUUCCAAAGCUCAUCUUCUCUAGAAACUGAGAAUGGAUAUGCUUUAACACCCCAAAUCAACACCAUAUCCAUGGCAUUCAUGUUGACGAACCUCCCGUUAGAAUCGAUAACAACCAACAUUGCUUCGUUAUCUUUAUAAUGCCAUUCUUGUUUGAAAAAGUUGAGUAUUGUGGAGCUCAUCAACCAUGGUUGCCUUACUGAGAUCCAUGGUAAGGAAUUGGAGUAGAAAUCGAAGAUUUCUUUCUCUUCGUCUGUCCAUUUUUGGGAUGAUGGUAUUGGAACCCAUAUGAUCUCGUAGUUUUGUUCUGUGUUGGUGUUAGAUGGAUGAUCGUAUAGCUGUUGGAGUAGGAAGAAAAGUGGCUCUACUGGUGGCUUUGAUAAUAGCAGUAGUGUUACCUUAUCUUGUACCUCAGUUAUAGAUAUCUGCCAUUGGGUGAAUAAAGAAUAUUCAAUGCUAUUGCAAUUUUGCAAAGAUAAAAGAAUCGGUCUAUGUAUCGUCAUACGGAAUGUCGGAGCUCAUCUUUAUGUAAAGUUAAAGACGAGACAUGAAAGAAACAAUAAGAAGGAACAUGGAAAAAGAAAAAUAGAUAGUUCUUUAUACCUGUCUGGAGUAUUGUUGAAGUGGCAAAUCAUCUUGUAGAGAAAAAAGUAGGUGGAGUACGUCUUGGUUGUCUUGAUGAGUCUCUAUGUUAAUGUUUCUAAGCCUUUGAUUGAUUUCUUCCUCUUUAGAUAUAACAACAGAGGAGCAAUAUCAGAGAUCGAGUUUUGCUUUUAGUAGAAAGUUGUGAUUAUGGAACUUAACAUCAGAAGAUUUGAAAGUUACCUAUUUGUGUGCUGCAAUCUUCUACCUGCUUGUUGAGGCGGGUGUGUAUGUUCAGCAACUGAUAUCCCAAACUAGACAGUUCUCCUGCUGCUCUCCUUGAUUCAAUUGAAAGUUCCGCUGCUGUUUUCCUUGAUUUUUUUGCCUACGUAUUUCAGAGAAUUCCUAGUCAUGAGAAAACUCAAUGUUGACUGCUAAUAUGCUGGAAACAAUUUCUGUGUGUCUGGUUCUUCAUUUUGCAGAGAAGAUAUAAGAAGGGUGAAAAUUUGCACCUGCUGCGUUUGCUUGAAAUAAGGGAUCUGCUGCAUGCAUGUGAGUGCACUUUUGACAACCCGAUAAGUAGUCAGAUAGAUGUUAGACAAGGUUUCUCCCAAAAUGUUGUUGUCUAGCUUCGCUUGUUUAAAUGGAAUUUUUUCAAAUUUGAUGAUGCAUUUGGUUACAUCCACCAUGGCUUUAAUGAGCAAGUUUAGAGACUCUAACCACGGUCUGAACUUGGUUCUCUCAAUAGGCAACUGGUUGAGUUUUGCAAUUGAUGCUGCAACGGGAUCACAGAUGGCCAGAUGAACUGGUAGCAAUAGUCCUCCAUAUGUUGCGGCAAGGACUCCUAGUACUAACACAGCUUUUGCAUCCCAUCUGUAUUCCUUGAGAAGAUCAAACAAAACCAUUGUCCUUUUCCGGAUCUCAUUUUCCCCAGUACAUGGACAAAGCAUCUGCAACCUCAAGAGUUUCACAAUUUCGGGUCUUUCAGAAAGAGUUUAUUUGAGAAGAAAGGAUGAUCAGUUUACCUGAACGGAGAUUCUGAAGAUAGCGUAUGGUAGUGUUUCCUUUGAGUCAAAAACUUCAAUGGUGGUGAUACAAUUCUCUGUCAGAAGCGGUCUAGAAACCUGAAAGUUUAGUGGCAUUGUUAUUGGCCAGAAUCAAGACAACUCUUUGAAGAAUUGGACCCCAAGGGAUGGAUAUAGCUCACAUCAUUUUGCAGAACAAAGCUUAAGAUGGUUUCGACUUCUUGAAGCAGCAUUUCGGAAUCAAGCCAGCGACCGUCUGGAUCAUGGCUACGAAGUAGCUGCUCAACUAUGAUGUCUUCAUUCAGAGCAGAGAUGUCGCGUCGGAAAUUCAUGGUAAAUGGUUGUUGUUCUAAAAAGACUCUACUUUGAAUAUGUAUUUACUAAACACAAAACAGCUUUGUCUCUUUGGUUUGCGUGAUAAAAAUAUUAGUAGGGUCCCUGAAACUAAAGAUUGUUGAGCAAUAUGACUGGAAUCUUAUUCAAAG
RNAcentral lists this long non-coding RNA (2778 nucleotides) under Arabidopsis thaliana (thale cress). Its description in RNAcentral is "potential natural antisense gene, locus overlaps with AT1G67790 (AT1G67792)". Lineage: Eukaryota; Viridiplantae; Streptophyta; Magnoliopsida; Brassicales; Brassicaceae. The record is from RNAcentral.